UGGGGAAUUUUGGACAAUGGGCGCAAGCCUGAUCCAGCAAUGCCGCGUGCAGGAUGAAGGCCUUCGGGUUGUAAACUGUUUUUGUACGGAACGAAAAAGCUCUCUCUAAUACAGGGGGUGAAUGACGGUACCGUAAGAAUAAGCACCGGCUAACUACGUGCCAGCAGCCGCGGUAAUACGUAGGGUGCAAGCGUUAAUCGGAAUUACUGGGCGUAAAGCGUGCGCAGGCGGUUUUGUAAGACAGAGGUGAAAUCCCCGGGCUCAACCUGGGAACUGCCUUUGUGACUGCAAAGCUGGAGUGCGGCAGAGGGGGAUGGAAUUCCGCGUGUAGCAGUGAAAUGCGUAGAUAUGCGGAGGAACACCGAUGGCGAAGGCAAUCCCCUGGGCCUGCACUGACGCUCAUGCACGAAAGCGUGGGGAGCAAACA
RNAcentral lists this ribosomal RNA (427 nucleotides) under uncultured bacterium. RNAcentral describes it as "bacterial SSU rRNA". It matches the Rfam family "Bacterial small subunit ribosomal RNA", at positions 355 to 774 of the family's 1533-position model. The record is from RNAcentral.